This 1872-nucleotide long non-coding RNA is filed under the name Bos grunniens (domestic yak). RNAcentral's name for it is "lncRNA (ENSBGRG00000006281.1)". Lineage: Eukaryota; Metazoa; Chordata; Mammalia; Artiodactyla; Bovidae. The record is from RNAcentral.
AUGACGUCACCGGCGGCGGCAGGCCCCGCCCCGGCCCCGGGCGGCAGGCCGCAUGACGUCACCGAGGCCCCACCCCUCCGGAGCGAGUUCGGUCCUGGCGUUCAUUUCAUUCCUGUCCUCAUUCCGAACAUUCUUAGCAUCGCUCGCGCCGUGCCGCGCCGCCCGAGCCGAGCCGAGCCUCUGCAGCCGCCGCCGCGGCCCCGCCGCCCGCCGCGGGCGCCCAUCAAGCACUUUGCAGACUCGCUUCCACCCUGCGGGCCAGUCCGCGCGGCGGGGCCCGGGCUCGGGGCGGCCGCGUCCGGGGACAGGCCAUGCAGUGAAUCCCCCCCACCCCGUCCACCUUUGCCCGGAGCCGCGGGCAGGAGCCCAGUUCGUCCAGCCGGCCCCGGGGCAGGAGCGGUGCUAGGCAGGGGUGGGGUGGCCCAGCCCGGGGAUCGGGAAUCGGGGAGGGAGCCGGGCUCCGAGCUGAAGGCGGGGGAAGCGGCGCCGAAGUUUGCCUCGGACUCGCCAGGCGCUGCGGCGGCUCCCUUCGCCGAGGUUUAUUUUCUUGAAAAGGCUCCAGGCUUCGGCUUGGAAAAUCCAACCGCCAAAAUUGAGCCCAGCAGCUGGAGCGGCAGUGAGAGCCCUGCCGAAAACAUGGAAAGGAUGAGUGACUCUGCAGAUAAGCCUAUUGACAAUGAUGCAGAAGGGGUCUGGAGCCCCGACAUUGAGCAGAGCUUUCAGGAAGCCUUGGCUAUCUAUCCACCAUGCGGGAGGAGGAAAAUCAUCUUAUCAGACGAAGGCAAGAUGUAUGGUAGGAAUGAAUUGAUAGCCAGAUACAUCAAACUCAGGACAGGGAAGACGAGGACCAGAAAACAGGUGUCUAGUCACAUUCAGGUUCUUGCCAGAAGGAAAUCUCGUGAUUUUCAUUCCAAGCUAAAGGAUCAGACUGCAAAGGAUAAGGCCCUGCAGCACAUGGCCGCCAUGUCGUCAGCCCAGAUCGUCUCGGCCACUGCCAUUCACAACAAGCUGGGGCUGCCCGGGAUCCCACGCCCCACCUUCCCGGGGGCGCCGGGGUUCUGGCCAGGAAUGAUACAAACAGGGCAGCCUGGAUCUUCACAAGACGUCAAGCCCUUCGUGCAGCAGGCCUACCCCAUCCAGCCAGCAGUCACGGCCCCCAUUCCAGGGUUUGAACCUGCGUCAGCCCCAGCUCCCUCGGUCCCAGCCUGGCAGGGCCGCUCCAUUGGCACAACCAAACUUCGCCUGGUGGAAUUCUCAGCUUUCCUUGAACAGCAGCGAGACCCAGACUCGUACAACAAACACCUCUUCGUGCACAUCGGGCACGCCAACCAUUCUUACAGUGACCCAUUGCUCGAAUCAGUGGACAUUCGUCAGAUUUAUGACAAAUUUCCUGAAAAGAAAGGUGGCUUAAAGGAACUGUUUGGAAAGGGCCCUCAAAAUGCCUUCUUCCUCGUAAAAUUCUGGGCUGAUUUAAACUGCAAUAUUCAAGACGAUGCCGGGGCUUUUUAUGGCGUAACCAGUCAGUAUGAGAGUUCUGAAAAUAUGACAGUCACCUGCUCCACCAAAGUUUGCUCCUUUGGGAAGCAAGUAGUAGAAAAAGUAGAGACGGAAUACGCAAGGUUUGAGAAUGGCCGAUUUGUCUACCGAAUAAACCGCUCCCCAAUGUGUGAAUAUAUGAUCAACUUCAUCCACAAGCUCAAACACUUACCAGAGAAAUAUAUGAUGAACAGUGUUUUGGAAAACUUCACAAUUUUAUUGGUGGUAACAAACAGGGAUACACAAGAAACUCUCCUGUGCAUGGCCUGUGUAUUUGAAGUUUCAAAUAGUGAACAUGGAGCACAGCAUCAUAUUUACAGGCUUGUAAAGGACUAA